Chenopodium quinoa (quinoa) is the source of this 899-nucleotide long non-coding RNA. RefSeq lists it as uncharacterized. The record is from RefSeq and is a predicted model, not a curated record. NCBI's taxonomy places the organism in Eukaryota, Viridiplantae, Streptophyta, Magnoliopsida, Caryophyllales, Amaranthaceae. The transcript is spliced from 4 exons.
UCUUUCUUUUCCUUAAUCUCUGGUUCGAAUUUCAUCUAUGGUAUAGUAUAAUGUUCGAUUUCUCAUGUUGUUUGUUUAAUCUCUGGCUGAAAUCGGAACAUCUUUGCCCUUAUACGGUUUUGAAUUGAAGGAGAACAAGAAUCGCGCGAUACUUCGAAGAAUUCAUUGACGGUGCAUCAAAGAUCAAACGGUUCACCUUUACGUGGAAUUGAGGAGAAGUUUUCAUACGUAGUAUUGAGACGAGGAAAAAGACCGCAAGAGAUCUCCAAAACGAGAAGCAAAAAAGUGUAUAUGCUAGUUCUGUUAAUGAGAAGUUGCUGUAUGAAUGUUCAAUUCUCCAAAAACGGCUUGAAGAAUCAAGUGUAAACUUCCUGGUUGAAGAGGAAGACAAAUUAGUUCUGGAUACUUCACCAUCAGAUGCUAUCGAUCUUCUUACCACGUCUGAUAAUCGAAUUGAUCUUCUUCUGGCUGAGUGUUAUAUAUAGUACAAGAUGACUUAUCGAAGCAAGAGAGCAAGGGAAAUACUUGCUGCCACAGCUAAGUCACAAGAUCCAAAAUCAUCACAGUCACCAAAUACAACUGCAUCUAAGUUUCAUGAUCCACUAUCAUAUGUAAGUGAAUUUGCUUCCAAACCAACCAAAAAACAAGUUGUUCAGUCACCACUAGUUGAGGUUCUUAAGAAUGAUAAGUGGGGGCCAUUUUUUCCACUUUAUACAACUACAAAAUGCACACAACCACACCUAGCAAACUAGGAUCUAUUUAGAAAAAACCUCCACCUAUUGUACCACAUUCAAAUAAACUCAACUCCCUUAACAACCCUUUAGCUUCCUCUCCUACUUCUCACCCACCACUUCAGCAUCCUCAACCUGGGAAGGGAGGUUCUUAGAACCUUGGUACUA